GACGAACGCUGGCGGCGUGCUUAACACAUGCAAGUCGAACGGAAAGGCCCUGCUUUUGUGGGGUGCUCGAGUGGCGAACGGGUGAGUAACACGUGAGUAACCUGCCCUUGACUUUGGGAUAACUUCAGGAAACUGGGGCUAAUACCGGAUAGGAGCUCCUGCUGCAUGGUGGGGGUUGGAAAGUUUCGGCGGAUGGGGAUGGACGCCGGGCUUAUCAGCUUGUUGGUGGGGUAGUGGCUUACCAAGGCAUUGACGGGUAGCCGGCCUGAGAGGGUGACCGGCCACAUUGGGACUGAGAUACGGCCCAGACUCCUACGGGAGGCAGCAGUGGGGAAUAUUGUACAAUGGGCGGAAGCCUGAUGCAGCAACGCCGCGUGCGGGAUGACGGCCUUCGGGUUGUAAACCGCUUUCGCCUGUGACGAAGCGUGAGUGACGGUAAUGGGUAAAGAAGCACCGGCUAACUACGUG
Molecule: ribosomal RNA, 468 nt
Filed under: uncultured bacterium
Lineage: Bacteria
Description: partial 16S ribosomal RNA
Rfam family: Bacterial small subunit ribosomal RNA
Source: RNAcentral